UACGAAGGGGGCUAGCGUUGUUCGGAAUUACUGGGCGUAAAGCGCACGUAGGCGGAUCGAUCAGUCAGGGGUGAAAUCCCGGAGCUCAACUCCGGAACUGCCUUUGAUACUGGGUGUCUUGAGUGUGGAAGAGGUGAGUGGAAUUCCGAGUGUAGAGGUGAAAUUCGUAGAUAUCUGGAGGAACACCGGUGGCGAAGGCGGCAUCCUGGACCGGCAUUGACGCUGAGGAGCGAAAGCCAGGGGAGCAAACGGG
RNAcentral lists this ribosomal RNA (253 nucleotides) under uncultured bacterium. RNAcentral describes it as "partial 16S ribosomal RNA". It matches the Rfam family "Bacterial small subunit ribosomal RNA", at positions 524 to 776 of the family's 1533-position model. The record is from RNAcentral.